RNAcentral lists this ribosomal RNA (523 nucleotides) under uncultured organism. Its description in RNAcentral is "bacterial SSU rRNA". It matches the Rfam family "Bacterial small subunit ribosomal RNA", at positions 79 to 593 of the family's 1533-position model. The record is from RNAcentral.
CUUGCAUCUCUUGAGAGUGGGAACGGGUGAGUAACACGUAGGUGAUCUACGCAGGGGUUGGGGAUAGGGAGGGAGACAUGGGGUAAUACCGAAUACGUUGGGUCCGCUUUGGCGGACUCAAGAAAGGCGCUUCGGCGUCGCCCUGCGAUGAGCCUGCGCCCCAUUAGCUAGUUGGUAGGGUAAAGGCCUACCAAGGCGACGAUGGGUAGCCGGCCUGAGAGGGUGAUCGGCCACACUGAGACUGAGAUAGGGACCAGAGGCCUACNGGAGGCAGCAGCUAAGAAUCUUCCGCAAUGGACGAAAGUCUGACGGAGCGACGCCGCGUGGGUGAAGAAGGCCGGAAGGUAGUAGAGCCCUUUACUUGUUGAGGAAUAAGCACAGGAGGGAAUGCCUGUGCGAUGACGAGAGGCGAGGAAUAAGUCCCGGCCAAUUACGUGACAGAAGCCGAGGUAACACGUAUGGGACGAGCGUAGUUCGGACUCAUUGGGCGUACCGGGCGCGUAGGCGGCGAGGUAAGCCUGGU